GCCGGGAUGGCGGAACUGGUAGACGCAGGGGACUUAAAAUCCCCUGGGCGUAAGCCCGUCCGGGUUCAAGUCCCGGUCCCGGCACCA
RNAcentral lists this transfer RNA (87 nucleotides) under bacterium. RNAcentral describes it as "tRNA-Leu". It matches the Rfam family "tRNA". From Rfam's summary of the family: Transfer RNA (tRNA) molecules are approximately 80 nucleotides in length. Their secondary structure includes four short double-helical elements and three loops (D, anti-codon, and T loops). RNAcentral also lists the same sequence under 2 other names. The record is from RNAcentral.